This 74-nucleotide transfer RNA is filed under the name Spirochaetaceae bacterium. RNAcentral's name for it is "tRNA-Arg". It matches the Rfam family "tRNA". Rfam says of the family: Transfer RNA (tRNA) molecules are approximately 80 nucleotides in length. Their secondary structure includes four short double-helical elements and three loops (D, anti-codon, and T loops). The record is from RNAcentral. Lineage: Bacteria; Pseudomonadati; Spirochaetota; Spirochaetia; Spirochaetales; Spirochaetaceae.
GUGCCAGUAGCUCAGCUGGAUAGAGCAACUGCCUUCUAAGCAGUGGGUCGGGGGUUCGACUCCCUCCUGGCGCA